This 200-nucleotide ribosomal RNA is filed under the name uncultured bacterium. Its description in RNAcentral is "partial 16S ribosomal RNA". It matches the Rfam family "Bacterial small subunit ribosomal RNA", at positions 8 to 236 of the family's 1533-position model. The record is from RNAcentral.
AGAGUUUGAUCAUGGCUCAGAGCGAACGCUGGCGGCAGGCUUAACACAUGCAAGUCGAGCGCUGUAGCAAUACAGAGCGGCAGACGGGAGAGUAACACGUGGGAACGUACCCUUCGGUUCGGAAUAACUCAGGGAAACUUGAGCUAAUACCGGAUACGUCCGCAAGGAGAAAGAUUUAUUGCCGAGGGAUCGGCCCGCGU